CCAGUCUGCGGGUUAGGAGCCCAGUAUUUGUCAGAGUGGGAUGCGAUUACAUCGUCUGGUACCACAGUAGGGCGGACAUGCUCCUCUGGGUUCUUGUCAUAAACUGAAACGUGCACCCUCCUACAAGUUGAGGUAAAAUCAUCACAAGUUAAUAAUCACCGAGCAACAAAUAAUAGAAACAAGGAUCAAAAAUUGUAAAAUCACGUAAUAUUAUACAGGGAAAAAAAAAUGAAUACUUGAACAUGGCAGUAAAUCUAGGCACGUCACAAUUGUAUAAAUCUUCUUUGAAGGAAAAUUUAUAGUUCACUCCAAACUAAAUUUGCCACCCUCCAUCCCUAUGCAUGAAAUUAAAUUUAGAGAACUUAAAAUAAAAUAAAAUAAAAUAAAAAUUCAAAAACUCUAUACUACUAAACUUUAAUGAUAGGUUUGUUUUUGUAACACGUUAGAGUAGUCAGUGUCCAUAGGGUUGGGAUAUUAGUCUCAUGAUCAGGGAAAAACAAAUAAUGAGAUAAGGACUAGCCACCAACCAAGCUUCAUUCCUUUAUUAAUGAACAUAAGAUAUUAGCACAUUUCCACGGUUGAUGUUUGAUAUAGGUGAAAGAAAAGCUGUAAAGUGUAAACAAAACAAGGAUACAUACAGAACAAACAAUGAUGAUGACUCCAUAUCCUAUCAGAUGGUAGUGGGGUCCUAAUAUUGAAAAAGAGGAGGAGAUAGUGAUCAUAAUAUUAAUUAUUUUAUAAAUGUCCAAUUCAAAUAGGGGACCCAAAAGAAAAUUAAUUUUGAAAUAUAUAAUAUGGCAGCGAAGAGACGACACGAAUUCAGCAGUGUGUUACAGAUAAUAAGACCUUGAAUCAAGGACUAAGAUUGAAGAAAUUUACAAGGUUACAACCAUAUCAAGUAAAUUCGUUUCUGGUUUAAAAGAAAGUAAAUUCAAUCAAUUUUGAUUCGCAUGUCAUAUCUAAUCCUGUGCAUAUUAAUCAGGUAUGCAAUAAUACAGGAAAUUCUAAGAUGCAAAGUUUAUGCAACAGAUCUAUGGCAAGGAGCCCAAGGACCAUGAAAAAGUAGGUGCACAAGAAAUAUCCUUCAACAAGCUCAUAUGAAGUGGAAUCAUGCUAUUUGUACAAACUAGGUUGACAAACUAUGUGUUGACAACAUGUAGGCUAAUCAUUUCAAAACAAUUUUUGAAAUCAAUGGUCUAGAUCUUGUCAACACUUAGUUUGUAAACCAGAUUAAUUCUAUGAAGUGAGAGGCAUCCAAUCAAAUCAUAACCAAUGUUUUUGCUUCAAAAAGGCACAUUCACUCCAACCCAACAUGUCAAAGUGCUAGGCAGUACACAUUUUUCUUAACAAUUAACGUGUGCCAUGAGUCGUACCUAAUUCAUCU
Molecule: long non-coding RNA, 1384 nt
Filed under: Olea europaea (common olive)
Lineage: Eukaryota; Viridiplantae; Streptophyta; Magnoliopsida; Lamiales; Oleaceae
Description: long non-coding RNA (OEUR_LNC004722)
Source: RNAcentral